This 1444-nucleotide ribosomal RNA is filed under the name metagenome. Its description in RNAcentral is "bacterial SSU rRNA". It matches the Rfam family "Bacterial small subunit ribosomal RNA". The record is from RNAcentral.
GCAAGUCGAGCGGUAGCAGGCCUUCGGGUGCUGACGAGCGGCGGACGGGUGAGGAAUGCAUAGGAAUCUGCCUAUUAGUGGGGGAUAACACGGGGAAACUCGUGCUAAUACCGCAUACGUCCUACGGGAGAAAGCGGGGGAUCUUUGGACCUCGCGCUAAUAGAUGAGCCUAUGCCGGAUUAGCUAGUUGGUAGGGUAAAGGCCUACCAAGGCGACGAUCCGUAGCUGGUCUGAGAGGAUGAUCAGCCACACUGGGACUGAGACACGGCCCAGGCUCCUACGGGAGGCAGCAGUGGGGAAUAUUGGACAAUGGGCGCAAGCCUGAUCCAGCCAUGCCGCGUGUGUGAAGAAGGCCUUCGGGUUGUAAAGCACUUUAAGUGGGGAGGAAGGUUAGUGGUUUAAUACGCUACUAAAUUGACGUUACCCACAGAAUAAGCACCGGCUAACUCUGUGCCAGCAGCCGCGGUAAUACAGAGGGUGCAAGCGUUAAUCGGAAUUACUGGGCGUAAAGCGCGCGUAGGUGGUUUUGUAAGUUGAAUGUGAAAUCCCCGGGCUUAACCUGGGAAUGGCAUCCAAAACUGCACGACUAGAGUAUGGGAGAGGGAGGUAGAAUUCCAGGUGUAGCGGUGAAAUGCGUAGAGAUCUGGAGGAAUACCGGUGGCGAAGGCGGCCUCCUGGCCUAAUACUGACACUGAGGUGCGAAAGCGUGGGUAGCAAACAGGAUUAGAUACCCUGGUAGUCCACGCCGUAAACGAUGAGAACUAGCCGUUGGUCUCCUUGAGAGGUUAGUGGCGCAGCUAACGCGAUAAGUUCUCCGCCUGGGGAGUACGGCCGCAAGGUUAAAACUCAAAUGAAUUGACGGGGGCCCGCACAAGCGGUGGAGCAUGUGGUUUAAUUCGACGCAACGCGAAGAACCUUACCUGGUCUUGACAUCCACGGAAUCCUGCAGAGAUGUGGGAGUGCCUUCGGGAACCGUGAGACAGGUGCUGCAUGGCUGUCGUCAGCUCGUGUUGUGAAAUGUUGGGUUAAGUCCCGUAACGAGCGCAACCCUUGUCCUUAGUUGCCAGCGAGUAAUGUCGGGAACUCUAAGGAGACUGCCGGUGACAAACCGGAGGAAGGUGGGGACGACGUCAAGUCAUCAUGGCCCUUACGACCAGGGCUACACACGUGCUACAAUGGCCGGUACAGAGGGUUGCCAAGCCGCGAGGUGGAGCCAAUCCCGAAAAGCCGGUCGUAGUCCGGAUUGCAGUCCGCAACUCGACUGCAUGAAGUCGGAAUCGCUAGUAAUCGCAGAUCAGAAUGCUGCGGUGAAUACGUUCCCGGGCCUUGUACACACCGCCCGUCACACCAUGGGAGUGGGUUGCACCAGAAGUAGUUAGCUUAACCGCAAGGGGAGCGAUUACCACGGUGUGAUUCAUGACUGGGGUGAAGUCGGAACAAGGUA